This is a non-coding RNA of Meleagris gallopavo (turkey), 2416 nucleotides long. The record is from RefSeq and is a predicted model, not a curated record. Lineage: Eukaryota; Metazoa; Chordata; Aves; Galliformes; Phasianidae.
ACUGGGCUUGCUCAGUCUGGAGAAAAGAAGGCUGCAGGGUGACCUCAUUGCAGCCUUCCACUACCUAGAGAUAGCCUAUGAACAGGACCAUUCGAAAUAUGGUUGUCUACCUCUUUGUACUCUUGGAGUAGAUUUCUUCUCAGGAUGGACACAGCAAUGAAUUACUUCCUCUGAUUAAGGGUUGAAAAUGCUUCAAGUCUCUUUUCCAGUUUGAAAAUGAACACACAGAGUGGAAAGCCAAGCUGAGUCAGCCUUUUUAUCGGUUUUCUGUGAAAGAAUCCUUAUUUCCAAUUAUCUAACCCAGUGGCUACUGAAGUAGUGGUGCUUCUAAGUUACGAAGAUAAGAAAUUAGUUCCUAAGGCAAAUGGUCUUGCUGUGCUUCCAUUUUUAAAUAUAAUUCCAUUGAAGGACACUUGAUUUUCAAAGUGCAAAUCAACAUGGAGAACUUCCUUGGACGUUAAGUGUUAUUGAGCACUGCUGUUUUACGAAGGAUGAAUUAAAGCUCUCAAAAUGUGAUUCUUUCCGAGGCCACUGCUUGAACUCUUUCUGAAUGGGUCUUGCAAGGAUCUUGGCUUAACAAGGCAGCCUGGGGACCUUGACAAGCACAGAUUUUUGGCUCCAGCGAUGAGCUCAGAGUCAGUACAGGAAAGUGCUGUGAUUAGAGGCAGGGUUUGGAUGAAAUCCAGAGCUCUUAUCCCAAAGCCAUCCGAGGCAAAUAAUUUCUGGUACUUAUAAAGCAUUGCAAGUGUGAAAUUAGUGAAAUAUCUCUAAGUAGAGACCCCUUUGAACACACAGGAAAAAGAGACCUUUUGGUUAGACAGCAUCUCAGAGUUGUCUUGAGAGUCCUCAGUGCUUACAUGUCUCUGUACAUCUAGUCUGACAUCAUGCACUUCAUUCAACAGCUGUUCUCAAGUGCACCUGCACUUCCUCAUCACACUUACCCAAAUGAGUAACAUCCUCAAGCUUGCACAGCAAGAGUUGCCCAGAUGUCAACUUUGCUUGCAGUUACUGUGCCUAUUUCCUGCAUGUGCAGGAUUUGUAUGUGCUAUUAUUGGGCUUUUCCAGGUGUAGCUGACAAAGUAGCAAAGACCUACAGUCCCGUUAGAGUUGGAGACAUAGGGAACUGGAUGUAUUGAAGGCUCUAGCUAGUCAUCUGUGCUCUCAACAAUGACAACCCCAUGAAUUUGUUCAUUCCAUCCUGAAGUGGACUUCCCGUCAUAAUACUUUGUGCAUGGAUUUAGGAAAAUUUGAAUGGUAAGUGCUAAAAAUAAUAAAGCUGACAAAAUAAGAAGGAUUUUAGGUUAAUCUCAAGACAGUUAAUUAUUCAGCAUCUCCUGCUUAGGCACUUUUCUUGCUUUACUUUCUUAUUUUCUAUUUGAAUGUCAGGCAUUUUCUGUCAGUGCCUUUAAUUAGUCCAUCCAUAAAUACAGAUUGGAUCAAACUAUGCCACCUUAUACUGAAGAAAUAUCACAGUAAUCCUUACUAUAUUAGCAGCUGUUCUGCUAUUUUGCAUUAGUAUUUUGUUGACUAAUAUGUUUUGCUUGGAACUUUCAUGUAUAAUAUCUAUUUUUAAAGUAUGGCUUCUUCCUAAUUGCUUAAAGGUAAGUUGCUCUUACUUCUUCAGUAGUAUUUUUGGAAUUCUUAAGUUUUGAAAGACUUUCAUUUCAAUUUGUGCUUUAUGCUUAAAAGAAAAUCAAUUUUUCUGUAAACCAAGCCCAUCUCAUUUUCUUUUAAAAUGAUCUUGUGUUAAAAAGAAACAACAGUACCACAGCCUUUAUAGGACUGAGGCAAAAGAUCUCUACUUGACAGAAGGUUGAUGAAGUUUUAAACAACAACAACCACCACCCUGAUUCAGUGUGAUGAACCCUGCAAUCUAAGAGAUAGCUAGUGAUACCAAUUCAAACUUAAGUCAGCAUGCAGACCAUGGUGUGAUUAAGUAACUAUGCAUUGCCUUUGAGAAAAUCCCUCCAAGGAUGUUGCCUUCCUUUCAGUUCUCUGAACCCUUUAGAGAAUAUAAAUUAAUGAAAAGCUUUUCCCAGCGGAUGACAGAUUAAAGUGGAGAUUCAUGCAUCUCUCUGGCAUAUAUUCCCAUAGGGAGCUGCAGUCCAAACUCUGGGGAUGAAAUGCCAGAGACAGAAUCACAGUAGACCCAAGACCCUGAAUAGCCUCAGACUGAGUUGCUUAAGGAAUUGCUUUCGAAGGACCUUGAAGAAUGGUGUGCUACCAAGGAUUUUUCAGUCCCAGAUCAUUAACAAGUGGCCACUUCAGUAAAGAUGAAACCUGCCUGAAUUAACAAGUUUCAGAGGUACGGUUUAACAGAAUAUUUUAGAACAUCUGGAGCUAGGCACCUAUUACUCUUUUAAGUACAAUGCUUCUGGUACCAUAAAAUGAUUUAUACCAUGUUCUAGUAUUUACA